Molecule: ribosomal RNA, 262 nt
Filed under: uncultured bacterium
Lineage: Bacteria
Description: partial 16S ribosomal RNA
Rfam family: Bacterial small subunit ribosomal RNA
Source: RNAcentral
GUCCACGCUGUAAACGAUGGGCACUAGGUGUUCGGGUAUUGACCCCUGAGUGCCGCAGCUAACGCAUUAAGUGCCCCGCCUGGGGACUACGGCCGCAAGGUUAAACUCAAAGGAAUUGACGGGGCCCGCACAAGCGGUGGAGCAUGUGGUUCAAUUCGACGCAACGCGAAGAACCUUACCUGGGCUAGACAACAUCGGACAGCCCCAGAAAUGGGGUCUUCCCGCAAAGGGACCGGUGGUUCAGGUGCUGCAUGGCUGUCGU